GUGGGGAAUAUUGGACAAUGGGGGGAACCCUGAUCCAGCCAUGCCGCGUGUGUGAAGAAGGCCUUUUGGUUGUAAAGCACUUUAAGCGAGGAGGAGGCUACCGAGAUUAAUACUCUUGGAUAGUGGACGUUACUCGCAGAAUAAGCACCGGCUAACUCUGUGCCAGCAGCCGCGGUAAUACAGAGGGUGCAAGCGUUAAUCGGAUUUACUGGGCGUAAAGCGCGCGUAGGUGGCCAAUUAAGUCAAAUGUGAAAUCCCCGAGCUUAACUUGGGAAUUGCAUUCGAUACUGGUUGGCUAGAGUAUGGGAGAGGAUGGUAGAAUUCCAGGUGUAGCGGUGAAAUGCGUAGAGAUCUGGAGGAAUACCGAUGGCGAAGGCAGCCAUCUGGCCUAAUACUGACACUGAGGCGCGAAAGCGUGGGGAGCAAACAGGAUUAGAAACCCUGGUAGUCC
Molecule: ribosomal RNA, 451 nt
Filed under: uncultured bacterium
Lineage: Bacteria
Description: partial 16S ribosomal RNA
Rfam family: Bacterial small subunit ribosomal RNA
Source: RNAcentral